RNAcentral lists this non-coding RNA (30 nucleotides) under Mus musculus (house mouse). The record is from RNAcentral. Lineage: Eukaryota; Metazoa; Chordata; Mammalia; Rodentia; Muridae.
UNUCAGUGAUGACCUCACCGUGCCCAUGCC